AAAAAAACAAUACCCAGCAGAGAGUCCAGGGAUGUCCAAUCUCUAGAUAAAAGCUACUAAGAACUAACAGCGGUUAUAAGUGAGCCUGCACAUAAAAUAAACCACUAGUUUAAACACAAACGAGCUCAACGGUUCACCACAAAAGUAGGAUAAUAGGAAUAUAGUAGGUGUUCCUUAAAACCGCUGUUCAAGCUAUCAAAGACUCUUAUCAAUUAGCUCUUAUAACUUAAAUUAUCCUUUAUGAACUUCUAUUCAUAUCAUCAUAACAUUCCAUAUCAUUUUUUGAGUAAGAAAUAUCAUAACAUUACAUAUCAUAACAAUACUUUAACUCUUUUUUAUGAUUAAUUUUGUGUAGACAUCUUAUUUACACCUCCCUCUUAUGCAAAUAGGAAGAGAAAAGAAAGAAAUGAGUGAUAUAAUUUGUGAUUUGAUUGGAAACGUAAAGAGAGAUAUAAAACAUGUAUAAAAAUAAGUUGGAAGAGAAAAUGAGGUGUGAAUGUAUCAUUAAUUUUAGGUCUAAUAAAUCUAAUAAGAUGGAAAAAUUAUUUAGUGGCACUCAUUGAGAGUAAUGUUAUAUUUUCUAACGCGAUUCUCCUACAAAUCUUUUAAGUUAAGUUAGAUCUCCUAAAUUCUAAUAUGGCAUCAGAGUUUAACAUAGAUUUGUUUAUUGGUGGAGACCUAUCAUAUUUGGGUCACCUGCAGGUGUCUAGAAGGUGAGGAGCUGUGUUAGAAGUCUCACAUUAGGUAGAGAUAUGCCAUAAAUAAUUUUUUUUAAUAGUAGAGCAACCCUAAACUCUUGAGUUAGUUUUUAGGUCGAGUUAGAGCUCCCAAAUUUUAUAAUAGAAAUCAUUAUUUAUUGUGUAUGAUAUGAGAUGUAGAAGAAAUUGAGUAUCAAUAUAUCAAAGUAGUUCAAUGUGUACAAAACAUUCACCUCUAGUAUAGUUAAAAAAAAAAACACACACACACACAUGUACAUUAUAAUAGUAGUAUAUAUUUGGUUGAAUCAAUAAAUUAAUAGAGGUUCACCUUGUUGAAUUGUUCCGAGGGGACUACACAAUCUGUUUGUUUGACACCCUCCAUGGUGAUCUUCUCUUCCUCGGGAAACAAACAGUUUGCAUUUAAACCAGCAAGUGCUUUGGCCUGCACGCUCUGGUCGGCUUCACAACAUAACAAAG
This 1175-nucleotide long non-coding RNA is filed under the name Lotus japonicus. Its description in RNAcentral is "long non-coding RNA (LJAP_LNC001606)". Lineage: Eukaryota; Viridiplantae; Streptophyta; Magnoliopsida; Fabales; Fabaceae. The record is from RNAcentral.